GUACACAUCCUCAAGUUUGAGAUCAUUGUAGAGCGCCUUUACUUUAGCAACACAAGCAGGGUCAUCUUUUCCAUAGUUUUCAUGUAAUAACUUUUUUUGCUCAUCAUUGCAGUGUUCUAGGGCUUUCACUACCAACCAAGAGCACUUGAAAUCUUGAAUAUCCGUGCCAAUCUUACCCAAUACCUCUGGAUCAGCAAAGCAGUCCAAGUAAUCAUCCUGAACUUGGAAAUA
This 231-nucleotide unclassified non-coding RNA is filed under the name Hevea brasiliensis (rubber tree). Lineage: Eukaryota; Viridiplantae; Streptophyta; Magnoliopsida; Malpighiales; Euphorbiaceae. The record is from RNAcentral.